Molecule: ribosomal RNA, 1383 nt
Filed under: Salmonella enterica
Lineage: Bacteria; Pseudomonadati; Pseudomonadota; Gammaproteobacteria; Enterobacterales; Enterobacteriaceae
Also listed under: 1 other name
Description: partial 23S ribosomal RNA
Rfam family: Bacterial large subunit ribosomal RNA
Source: RNAcentral
UGUGACUGCGUACCUUUUGUAUAAUGGGUCAGCGACUUAUAUUCUGUAGCAAGGUUAACCGUAUAGGGGAGCCGUAGGGAAACCGAGUCUUAACCGGGCGUUAAGUUGCAGGGUAUAGACCCGAAACCCGGUGAUCUAGCCAUGGGCAGGUUGAAGGUUGGGUAACACUAACUGGAGGACCGAACCGACUAAUGUUGAAAAAUUAGCGGAUGACCUGUGGCUGGGGGUGAAAGGCCAAUCAAACCGGGAGAUAGCUGGUUCUCCCCGAAAGCUAUUUAGGUAGCGCCUCGUGAAUUCAUCUCCGGGGGUAGAGCACUGUUUCGGCUAGGGGGCCAUCCCGGCUUACCAACCCGAUGCAAACUGCGAAUACCGGAGAAUGUUAUCACGGGAGACACACGGCGGGUGCUAACGUCCGUCGUGAAGAGGGAAACAACCCAGACCGCCAGCUAAGGUCCCAAAGUCAUGGUUAAGUGGGAAACGAUGUGGGAAGGCCCAGACAGCCAGGAUGUUGGCUUAGAAGCAGCCAUCAUUUAAAGAAAGCGUAAUAGCUCACUGGUCGAGUCGGCCUGCGCGGAAGAUGUAACGGGGCUAAACCAUGCACCGAAGCUGCGGCAGCGAACGUAUCACCCAAGACAACUUUACGGAGUUGACGAUUGACGGAGCGAAGCGACGUCAAAGCGUUCAUUAAAGUCGAGUUGGCUUAGGGAUACGUUCGUUGGGUAGGGGAGCGUUCUGUAAGCCUGUGAAGGUGUGUCGUGAGGCAUGCUGGAGGUAUCAGAAGUGCGAAUGCUGACAUAAGUAACGAUAAAGCGGGUGAAAAGCCCGCUCGCCGGAAGACCAAGGGUUCCUGUCCAACGUUAAUCGGGGCAGGGUGAGUCGACCCCUAAGGCGAGGCCGAAAGGCGUAGUCGAUGGGAAACGGGUUAAUAUUCCCGUACUUGGUGUUACUGCGAAGGGGGGACGGAGAAGGCUAUGUUGGCCGGGCGACGGUUGUCCCGGUUUAAGCGUGUAGGUGUGUGUUCCAGGUAAAUCCGGUUCACUUUAACACUGAGGCGUGACGACGAGGCACUACGGUGCUGAAGCAACAAAUGCCCUGCUUCCAGGAAAAGCCUCUAAGCAUCAGGUAACACGAAAUCGUACCCCAAACCGACACAGGUGGUCAGGUAGAGAAUACCAAGGCGCUUGAGAGAACUCGGGUGAAGGAACUAGGCAAAAUGGUGCCGUAACUUCGGGAGAAGGCACGCUGACACGUAGGUGAAGUGAUUUACUCAUGGAGCUGAAGUCAGUCGAAGAUACCAGCUGGCUGCAACUGUUUAUUAAAAACACAGCACUGUGCAAACACGAAAGUGGACGUAUACGGUGUGACGCCUGCCCGGUGCCGGAA